AAAUGCGAUAAGUAGUGUGAAUUGCAGAAUUCAGUGAAUCAUCGAAUCUUUGAACGCACAUUGCGCCCUUUGGUAUUCCUUAGGGCAUGCCUGUUCGAGCGUCAUCUAAACCCUCAAGCCCUGCUUGGUGUUGGGUGCCUGUCCCGCCCCCGCGUGCGGACUCACCUCAAAUCCAUUGGCGGCCCUCGUGCCGGCCCCGAGCGCAGCAGGAACGCGGUCUCGUGGCCCGGCGGAGCGUGCCCCCAGAAGCAACAUUCACCGUUUUGACCUCGGAUCAGGUAGGGAUACCCGCUGAACUUAAGC
RNAcentral lists this unclassified non-coding RNA (303 nucleotides) under plant metagenome. Its description in RNAcentral is "partial contains 5.8S ribosomal RNA, internal transcribed spacer 2, and large subunit ribosomal RNA". The stretch from base 1 to 104 matches the Rfam family "5.8S ribosomal RNA", at positions 51 to 154 of the family's 154-position model. The record is from RNAcentral.